Molecule: long non-coding RNA, 707 nt
Organism: Phyllostomus hastatus (greater spear-nosed bat)
Lineage: Eukaryota; Metazoa; Chordata; Mammalia; Chiroptera; Phyllostomidae
Exons: 3
Source: RefSeq, a predicted model, not a curated record
AACAAGGCAGCUCUCCGAGGAACGGGCUUUCUGCAUGACGCCGCGCGGCAGGGAGCCUGGCCCAGGCCUAUGGGGUCACGAGGACCGCCGACCACCGUGAGCCCCGGGGAGACGGCUGCAGCAAAACUGAAAUCCUGGGGUCCCGCUUGCAUCCUGUGCAAAACUCAUGAAUAUAUUUGGCCAUGGCUCCUUCUAGAGAACUGCGGCACACAGAUGGCGAUUUCAGUUCCUGGAGAAGGGGGAGGACCCGGAGCAAGAAGGACAGCAGCACCACAGACCAGAACUCUCUCUGCUGAGUCCCAGCCCACACGCUAACUGUCCACCUAGCAGCUGCCUUUGGAUGUCCCUGACUGCCUCGAACUCAACACACCAGAACUGGACUCAUCAGCGCCUCCUGUGGCCUCCCAUUUGCAGCAGCCAAGCAGGUUUACUGCUACCCAGCGUCUAUGCACCCCAGGACUGAACAGGCCUAGAUCUGGUGAGAAGACACCCCCGCUCCUUUGGGCCCUGUGGUUUGGAGUCCCAGCCCACCCCACCACCAGUCUGAGUACAGCAGUGACCUAGGCCAAGAACAUUCCACACAGCUCGGUACUUCCGGGUUAGCACAGAGCCAAAUGGGCCCAGUCACAGCUGAUGCAGGGGUUUGGUCUGAAUGAACUCAGAGAUGACCCCCCUUCCCUGAUCGAUUCGAGACCCCAUAAAGUGAA